This 601-nucleotide ribosomal RNA is filed under the name Staphylococcus aureus. RNAcentral describes it as "bacterial SSU rRNA". It matches the Rfam family "Bacterial small subunit ribosomal RNA", at positions 315 to 907 of the family's 1533-position model. The record is from RNAcentral. Lineage: Bacteria; Bacillati; Bacillota; Bacilli; Caryophanales; Staphylococcaceae.
GGAACUGAGACACGGUCCAGACUCCUACGGGAGGCAGCAGUAGGGAAUCUUCCGCAAUGGGCGAAAGCCUGACGGAGCAACGCCGCGUGAGUGAUGAAGGUCUUCGGAUCGUAAAACUCUGUUAUUAGGGAAGAACAUAUGUGUAAGUAACUGUGCACAUCUUGACGGUACCUAAUCAGAAAGCCACGGCUAACUACGUGCCAGCAGCCGCGGUAAUACGUAGGUGGCAAGCGUUAUCCGGAAUUAUUGGGCGUAAAGCGCGCGUAGGCGGUUUUUUAAGUCUGAUGUGAAAGCCCACGGCUCAACCGUGGAGGGUCAUUGGAAACUGGAAAACUUGAGUGCAGAAGAGGAAAGUGGAAUUCCAUGUGUAGCGGUGAAAUGCGCAGAGAUAUGGAGGAACACCAGUGGCGAAGGCGACUUUCUGGUCUGUAACUGACGCUGAUGUGCGAAAGCGUGGGGAUCAAACAGGAUUAGAUACCCUGGUAGUCCACGCCGUAAACGAUGAGUGCUAAGUGUUAGGGGGUUUCCGCCCCUUAGUGCUGCAGCUAACGCAUUAAGCACUCCGCCUGGGGAGUACGACCGCAAGGUUGAAACUCAAAGG